GGGGAAUUAGCUCAGUUGGUAGAGCGCGGCGAUCGCACCGCCGAGGCCAGGGGUUCGAGUCCCCUAUUCUCCA
Molecule: non-coding RNA, 73 nt
Organism: Cyanothece sp. PCC 7425
Lineage: Bacteria; Bacillati; Cyanobacteriota; Cyanophyceae; Gomontiellales; Cyanothecaceae
Source: Rfam